UGGGGAAUAUUGCACAAUGGGGGGAACCCUGAUGCAGCGACGCCGCGUGAGCGAAGAAGUAUCUCGGUAUGUAAAGCUCUAUCAGCAGGGAAGAAAGUGACGGUACCUGACUAAGAAGCCCCGGCUAACUACGUGCCAGCAGCCGCGGUAAUACGUAGGGGGCAAGCGUUAUCCGGAUUUACUGGGUGUAAAGGGAGCGUAGACGGCAUGGCAAGUCUGAUGUGAAAACCCGGGGCUCAACCGCGGGACUGCAUUGGAAACUGUCGGGCUAGAGUGUCGGAGAGGCAAGUGGAAUUCCUAGUGUAGCGGUGAAAAUGCGUAGAUAUUAGGAGGAACACCAGUGGCGAAGGCGGCUUGCUGGACGAUGACUGACGUUGAGGCUCGAAAGCGUGGGGAGCAAACAGGAUUAGAUACC
This 415-nucleotide ribosomal RNA is filed under the name uncultured bacterium. Its description in RNAcentral is "bacterial SSU rRNA". It matches the Rfam family "Bacterial small subunit ribosomal RNA", at positions 355 to 786 of the family's 1533-position model. The record is from RNAcentral.